Molecule: ribosomal RNA, 555 nt
Filed under: Triticum aestivum (bread wheat)
Lineage: Eukaryota; Viridiplantae; Streptophyta; Magnoliopsida; Poales; Poaceae
Description: partial small subunit ribosomal RNA
Source: RNAcentral
AUGUCCGCCAAGAGGAAGCCCGGCAGGUCGCCGGCGGCGGCGGCGAAUGCGACGACGCAGGCGAAGGAAGACGACGCGGGGGGCCUCUUCUCCUCGCGCUCCUCCGCCUACCUCGGCCUCCAAGCUUUGAGAGAUAUUCAGAGCAAUGAUCUACUACUUUACAGCAAAACAGGGUGCCUAUCAAAAAGAUACUCCAAAGACUUCGGGGAAGCUCUUCGAGUUUUCUCCCCCAGUAAAACAGGGCGCCUAUCGAAAGUUCGAAGAUUGUGUCUGGGUAUGGGAUUUCCACUAAUCUCAUGUCUUGAAGGCCCAAUACAGUUUAUCAUCAGAAAUAAAAGAGAACUAUACAAGCAAAGUACUUUACAGAUGCCUUUUUGUUCACUAUAUAAAACAAUGACCAGCAGCCAACCACGAUCUUCAACAGCAAAGAAUUCCUCAUGCCAAAACGUGUUCUUCAUGUAUACUAUUAUCCUUAAGACGGCUGGAUCGACAGGAAGCUGCUGGAACCCGGCCUUGACGCACCUUGCGUGCCACUGUCGGUGGCUCCUCAUCUGA